UUCUUUGAUCCUCUUCCUGGCCUGCUCCUGCUUCUGCGUCCCAGGACAGAAUGACUGAGAACAUGAAGGAGUGCUUGGCCCAGACCAAGGCGGCUGUGGGGGACAUGGUGACCGUGGUGAAGACAGAGGUCUGCUCGCCCCUCCGCGACCAGGAGUAUGGCCAGCCCUGCUCUAGGAGACCCGAGCCUUCGGCCAUGGAAGUCGAGCCCAAGAAACUGAAGGGGAAGCGAGACCUCAUGGUGCCCAAGAGCUUCCAGCAAGUCGACUUCUGGUUCUGCGAGUCCUGCCAGGAGUACUUUGUGGACGAGUGCCCCAACCAUGGUCCCCCCGUAUUUGUGUCAGACACACCGGUGCCCGUGGGCAUCCCGGACCGGGCUGCCCUCACCAUCCCGCAGGGCAUGGAGGUGGUCAAGGAAGCCAGCGGAGAGAGCGACGUGCGGUGCAUUAGUGAGGUCAUACCCAAGGGCCACAUCUUUGGCCCCUAUGAGGGGCAGAUCUCCACUCAGGACAAAUCGGCGGGCUUCUUCUCAUGGCUGAUUGUGGACAAGAACAGCCGCUACAAGUCCAUAGAUGGGUCGGACGAGACCAAGGCCAACUGGAUGAGGUACGUGGUCAUCUCCCGGGAGGAGAGGGAGCGGAACCUGCUGGCCUUCCAGCACGGCGAGCGCAUCUACUUCCGCGCCUGCAGGGACAUCCGGCCCGGGGAGCGGCUGCGGGUCUGGUACAGCCAGGACUACAUGAGGCGCCUGCACAGCAUGUCCCAGGAGACCAUCCACCGCAACCUGGCCAGAGCCUCCGAGAGCAUGGUCUCGGGCCCCGCCAUCAUGGAGGACGAUGACCAGGAGGUCGACUCGGCCGAUGAAUCCGUCUCCAACGAUAUGAUGACCACGACCGACGAGCCGUCCAAGAUGUCCUCCGCCACCGGACGCCGGAUCCGGCGCUUCAAGCAGGAGUGGCUGAAGAAGUUCUGGUUCCUGCGGUACUCGCCGACCCUCAAUGAGAUGUGGUGCCACGUGUGCCGCCAGUACACGGUGCAGUCCUCCCGCACCUCGGCCUUCAUCAUCGGCUCCAAGCAGUUCAAGAUCCACACCAUCAAGCUGCACAGCCAGAGCAACCUGCACAAGAAGUGCCUGCAGCUCUACAAGCUCCGCAUGCACCCCGAGAAGACGGAGGAGAUGUGCCGCAGCAUGACCCUGCUCUUCAACACCGCCUACCACCUGGCCCUCGAGGGCAGGCCCUACCUGGACUUCCGGCCGCUGGCCGAGCUGCUGAGGAAGUGCGAGCUCAAGGUGGUGGACCAGUACAUGAACGAGGGCGACUGCCAGGUGCUCGUCCACCACAUCGCCCGGGCGCUGCGGGAGGACCUGGUGGAGCGCAUCCGCCAGUCCCCGUGCCUCAGCAUCAUCUUGGACGGGCAGAGCGACGACCUGCUGGCCGACACGGUGGCCGUGUACGUCCAGUACACCAGCAGCGACGGGCCCCCGGCCACGGAGUUCCUGUCCCUGCAGGAGCUGGGCUUCUCCAGCACAGAGAGCUACCUCCAGGCGCUGGACCGGGCCUUCACCACCCUGGGCAUCCGGCUGCAGGACGAGAAGCCCACGGUGGGCUUGGGCGUGGACGGGGCCAACAUCACGGCCAGCCUGCGGGCCAGCAUGUUCAUGACCAUCCGCAAGACGCUGCCCUGGCUGCUGUGCCUGCCCUUCAUGGUGCACCGGCCCCACCUGGAGAUCCUGGACGCCAUCAGCGGGAAGGAGCUGCCCUGCCUGGAGGAGCUGGAGAACAACCUGAAGCAGCUGCUGAGCUUCUACCGCUACUCGCCCCGGCUCCUGGGCGAGCUGCGCUGCACGGCCGCCACCCUCUGCGAGGAGACCGAGUUCCUGGGGGACAUCCGGGCCGUGCGCUGGGUCAUCGGGGAGCAGAACGUCCUCAACGCCCUCAUCAAGGACUACCUGGAGGUGGUGGCCCACCUCAAGGACGUCAGCAGCCAGACGCAGCGGGCGGACGCCUCGGCCAUCGCCCUGGCCCUGCUGCAGUUCCUCAUGGACUAUCAGUCGGUCAAGCUCAUCUACUUCCUGCUGGACGUGAUCGCCGUCCUCUCGCGCCUGGCCUACGUCUUCCAGGGCGAGUACCUGCUGGUGUCCCAGGUGGACGACAAGAUCGAGGAGGCCAUCCAGGAGGUCAGCCGGCUGGCCGACUGCCCGGGGGAGUACCUCCAGGAGUUCGAGGAGAACUUCCGGGAGAGCUUCAACGGGGUUGCCGUGAAGAACCUCAGGGUGGCCGAGGCCAAGUUCCAGUCCAUCAGGGAGAAGAUCUGCCAGAAGACCCAGGUCAUCCUGGCCCAGAGGUUCGACUCCCGCAGCCGGAUCUUCGUGAAGGCCUGCCAGGUGUUCGACCUGGCCGCCUGGCCCAGGAGCAGCGAGGAGCUCGUGAGCUACGGCAAGGAGGACAUGGUGCAGAUACUCGACCACCUGGAGGCCAUCCCCACCUUCUCCCGGGACCUCGGCCAGGAGGGGCUGGACCCGCGGGGCAGCCUGCUGACGGAGUGGCGGGAGCUCAAGGCCGAUUACUAUACCAAAAACGGCUUCAAAGACCUCAUCAGCCACGUCUGCAAGUACAAGCAGAGGUUCCCGCUCUUGAACAAGAUCAUCCAGGUCCUGAAGGUCCUCCCCACGUCCACCGCCUGCUGCGAGAAGGGCCGCAGCGCCCUCCAGAGGGUCCGCAAGAACCACCGCUCCCGCCUGACCCUGGAGCAGCUGAGCGACCUGCUGACCGUCGCGGUCAACGGACCGCCCAUCGCCAACUUCGAUGCCAAGCGAGCCCUGGACAGCUGGUUCGAGGAGAAGUCGGGCAACAGCUACGCACUGUCGGCCGAGGUCCUCAGCAGGAUGUCGGCCCUGGAGCAGAAGCCGGCGCUGCAGGCCGUGGACCACGGGUCCGAGUUCUACCCGGACAUGUAGGGAGCCAGCGGCAGAGUCCACGGAGCUGUUGAAUAUUUUUUUAAUCUAUACUCAUAAGCUUUGAUAUAUUAUAUAAAUCUAUAUUAUAUUAUAUUAUAUAUAUAUAUAUAUAUAAAACCCACACUGAAGAUUUUUAAAAAACCAAGGUGACACGUCCACCAGAAGCUACUAGGAGCUUUCAGAAAGGCACGACGUCGGACAGCGACGCCUGUCUACGACACUUGGCAGCUUGAACCUACGUGGCGACCCGUUUCCACUCACAGAAGCAUGUGCUGGGCCCCGCGUGUCCCCACCCGACAGCCACCGACAGCAUGAGCUAAGUGACGGGUCUCUGUCACGGCCUCUAGGUAGCUCGCUCUGUUCCUGUCGCCACUGGGGGGUGGAGGGAGGUGGGUUGGGCUUGGGGUUUAUGUUCUCGCCAUUUUUUCUGUUGGGUUUCAUGGUGGGGUUUGGGGGGUGGCUCUUGGCUUCUUCGUUGACAUUCUGGUCCCCGACUCCCACCUUGUGGGUUGGGGUGCCCUCCUCCCCCACCUGACGUCAGUGUGACGGAUUUGUUCUACUCAUUCCCUUCGCUGUCCCACAAACACAGGUGUCGGUGGUACUGUGAACCCUCCCCGCCCCCACCCGUCACCUCCCGUCCCUGGUGGUCUGUUCGCUCCCUCCAGGCCCCUGGAUUGAAAGACAGAACCCGUUCUCUGGAAGGCAGAAGGGCCUUAGAGCCGAGCUUGCAAUCCAGGGGAAGGGGAGGGCGGCUUUGGGCAUCCCUGUUGUCCAUGGUGGAGGAUCAGAUGGCAGAAUCCCACGCAGACCCAGGGCCGCUGGGAGACGAAAAGCCAGCAAAUCCAGACCCCCAACGGGGCGGCGAUUUUUGGCUAAAAACAAGUAAAAUGAAAAGUAUCUAUGGGAUCGACAUGGAUUAUUUAUACUCUGUCUUUAUAAUCAUAUACUGUUGGGGGGUAUUUUUGUUUUCCUUUCAUAAUCAAGCACCUGCAAGGUAGCUACGGAGCAGGAGCUGUCGAUGCAAGUUGUGCCCUGGGUUACGUGUCACUCUAAGAGCGUCCCCAGGGAGGUGGUCCGGGCUGGCGCCACGCUCCGCAGCCCAGCAGGAAGGUCCUGGGAGACUGGGCAGUGCUUCUAGGCCUGUGAGCUUCCUUUUUGUGAACAGGGUAGAGAUGUCCCAAAGAAAAGGAGCAAACAGGAAGCGGGACCAGAUUCUCAAGGCAUCAACUUGGACACACACACACACACACACACACACACACACACACCACAACCACAAUAUAAGCUUUAGAAAAGGCCACUUGCCCGCUCCCUGGGGCAGGCAGUGGUGUAGGCGAGGAGUCUGACCCGCGCUCCUCCCGUCAUUUCACCACAGUAUACCUCGCAGGGGAGUCUCCAGAUAUGUGCGUGAGCUGUUAAAGCUUCUCUUCACGUUCCCACACCUGAUUUGUGCGUAUUUUAUAUGCACAGAUCCUAAGGUGGACGCAGGUCGUAUUGGGGGAGGGACGGGGAUCUGGAUCCCGCGUCCCCGCUCGGCUGUCCCUCCCCAUUAGUGGAGGGUGUUGAGAUCUGGCCACAGGCGAGGCCCCCCGAACCUUGGCCUUUGUGGCUCAGACACUGUGCAGCUGCGGUGGCUCCCUUACUCUUGGUUUAUCUUGUGUCUGCGGCCUGGUGCCACCGUGAGAACCAGAGUGGAAAGGUCAUCAACACUGAACGUCACCGCCCCUUCCUGGCCCCGCCGGUCCUGCCCCUCACAGAUCCUUCCUCUCACCCCCAUGGUCUUGGUGCUAAGAUAACUUUAGAAUCAUUGCUGCUAGUCGAUAGCUUUUCAUUAUAAAUAUAUAUAUUAUAUU
This 4810-nucleotide long non-coding RNA is filed under the name Ictidomys tridecemlineatus (thirteen-lined ground squirrel). Its description in RNAcentral is "lncRNA (ENSSTOG00000033104.1)". Lineage: Eukaryota; Metazoa; Chordata; Mammalia; Rodentia; Sciuridae. The record is from RNAcentral.